This 433-nucleotide ribosomal RNA is filed under the name uncultured bacterium. RNAcentral's name for it is "partial 16S ribosomal RNA". It matches the Rfam family "Bacterial small subunit ribosomal RNA", at positions 29 to 507 of the family's 1533-position model. The record is from RNAcentral.
AACGAACGCUGGCGGCAUGCCUAACACAUGCAAGUCGAACGAGACCUUCGGGUCUAGUGGCGCACGGGUGCGUAACGCGUGGGAACCUGCCCUUAGGUUCGGAAUAACUCCCCGAAAGGGGUGCUAAUACCGGAUAAUGUCUUCGGACCAAAGAUUUAUCGCCUUUGGAUGGGCCCGCGUUGGAUUAGCUAGUUGGUAGGGUAAAAGCCUACCAAGGCGACGAUCCAUAGCUGGUCUGAGAGGAUGAUCAGCCACACUGGGACUGAGACACGGCCGAGACUCCUACGGGAGGCAGCAGUGGGGAAUAUUGGACAAUGGGCGAAAGCCUGAUCCAGCAAUGACGCGUGAGUGAUGAAGGCCUUAGGGUUGUAAAGCUCUUUUACCCGGGAUGAUAAUGACAGUACCGGGAGAAUAAGCUCCGGCUAACUCCGUG